This is a long non-coding RNA of Rattus rattus (black rat), 332 nucleotides long. RefSeq lists it as uncharacterized. The transcript is spliced from 3 exons. Lineage: Eukaryota; Metazoa; Chordata; Mammalia; Rodentia; Muridae. The record is from RefSeq and is a predicted model, not a curated record.
UCUGUUCUAAGUCUUCUCUGCUGCGAGGUGGUUCUAUUACCCCACAUUGUCACAGACCCCCUGUCUAUGGAGGAUGUCAGAGGGGUAGGGAAAACACACAGAGGAGAUGGGGCCACAAGCAUGAUGGAUAUGAAGAAAAAGGAUAACUUAUAGGAGUUGGUUCUCUCCCUCUACCACAUGGGUCUCAGGAAUCCAACGCAGGACCAGGCUUGCAUCUGCAUAUGGACCUCCCUGAGAAUCGAGAUACCCUGCUGGUGGUUCUGAAAGAUCGAUAGCGCUCACACAGAUGGGACUGCACAGAACCCCCCAGGAAUCCAGAACAAACUGGGGAC